GGAUAUGAGGGCGAUCUGGCUGCGACAUCUGUCAUCCCAUUGAUCGCCAGGGUUGAUUCGGCUGAUCUGGCUGGCUAGGCGGGUGUCCCCUUCCUCCCUCACUGCUUCAUGUGCGUCCCUCCCAAAGAUGCAGACAGCCUUCCCUGAAUAGAGACAAACCGGUCUUCAGUCGAGGGUAUACGAGUAGCUGCGCUCCCCUGCUAGAACCUCCAAACAAGCUCUCAAGAGAGUGACUAAAGGAUAGGUAAAGGAAUUAUUGGGUUGUUGGAAAAGCCACGGGUACAUAUAUUUUUUAUGUUUUUCUUUACAAAAAAAUGUGUCAUAUCUUUUCUGAAAAUGUUU
Unclassified non-coding RNA from Erinaceus europaeus (western European hedgehog), 342 nucleotides. Its record names the gene 7SK. It matches the Rfam family "7SK RNA". From Rfam's summary of the family: 7SK was discovered as an abundant small nuclear RNA in the mid-70s but a possible function has only recently been suggested. The record is from Ensembl. NCBI's taxonomy places the organism in Eukaryota, Metazoa, Chordata, Mammalia, Eulipotyphla, Erinaceidae.